RNAcentral lists this ribosomal RNA (827 nucleotides) under Capillaria madseni. Its description in RNAcentral is "SSU rRNA". It matches the Rfam family "Eukaryotic small subunit ribosomal RNA", at positions 133 to 918 of the family's 1831-position model. Lineage: Eukaryota; Metazoa; Nematoda; Enoplea; Trichinellida; Capillariidae. The record is from RNAcentral.
UUCCCUUGGGAUAACUGUGGAAAUGCUAGACCUAAUACAUGCUAUGAUGCUUUGAUUGUCCUUGUCAUCAAAGCACAUUUAUUGGUUGCCAUAUGCUUGGGGCCGCGGCAUCGCCGCCUUUGCCCUACCGAUUAUUGAAUGAGACUAACUACGGUGAUCGCAUGGUCUUGGUACCAGCGACGAAUCUUUGAAAUGACUUGCUCAUCAACUUUCGAUGGUAGGUUACGUGCUUACCAUGGUGACUACGGUUAGCGGAGAAUCAGGGUUCGACUCCGGAGAAGGAGCCUGAGAGACGGCUACUACUUCCAAGGAAGGCAGCAGGCGCGCAAAUUACCCACUCCCAGCACGGGGAGGUAGUGACGAUAAAUAACGGAACGUAUCUCGAUGAGACGCGUUACCGGAACGAUCGAGCCGUAUACGAGCUUGAUGAAGGCUAUUGGAGGGCAAGUCUGGUGCCAGCAGCCGCGGUAAUUCCAGCUCCAAUAGCGUAUAUUAAAGUUGCUGCGGUUGAACCGCUCGUAUUGGAUUGCGAUAUUGGGCCACGGUGGUUCUCCGGUCACAGAGAUGGUAUGAUUGGCUUUGCCGCCGUUGGUCGUCAUGAUCGUUUAAUGUCAUGGUUGUUCGUGAUGCUCUUUGCUGAGUGUCGCGGGUGACAUGAACGUCUACUUUGAGAAAAUAAGAGCGCUUAAAGCAGGCUGCUCAGAGAAAAGCUUGAACGGAAUUUCAUGGGAUGGUGAAGAUGAUCUCGCUGGUAGUAACAUGACCACGAGGUAAUGAUUAACAGAGACAGACGGUGGCAUUCGUACUGCUACGUUAGAGGUGAAAUU